CAUCACAUUUCAAUGUCCUGUUCUUUCCUUGUGAGAGCUGAGAUACAGUAUUUCAGUGCUAGAUCAAUCUUGGAGGUAAAUUAGCAGUGGCAUUCCAUGUCAACCCUGCACAUUCCCUUCACACACCC
This 128-nucleotide small nucleolar RNA is filed under the name Hucho hucho (huchen). The record is from RNAcentral. Lineage: Eukaryota; Metazoa; Chordata; Actinopteri; Salmoniformes; Salmonidae.